Molecule: long non-coding RNA, 964 nt
Organism: Macadamia integrifolia
Lineage: Eukaryota; Viridiplantae; Streptophyta; Magnoliopsida; Proteales; Proteaceae
Exons: 3
Source: RefSeq, a predicted model, not a curated record
AAAUGAAAUGGUUUUGUUAUUCAUUUCUAUUUUGGUAUGAAGUUUCUAAUUAUGACAUUUAUAAUAUGAAAAUAGCAUAAAGAAAUUGGAGUGGAGCUAGACCGUGUAGACUUAUAUAUAAUUACUUAUAAACGCAGAGACGGGGAUCCUGUAGAUGACAUUGCAUGAGCUAUGAUUGUAUGUAUUAUUUAUAUUUUUUAAUUAAAAUAAUAUUCAAAUAUUAUCUUUUAAAUAUAAUCAUACUUAUUUAAAGUAACAUACUUGUUUGUAAAUUGCAAGAUAAAAUUGAGAGAAAAAAAUCAGGAUCCAGUACCUCCCAAAACACGAGUGAGAAUAUCACUUGGGAUAAUGACAUUUUUCCUCAAGUGAAGAAAAAAGAUAAACGUGGACGUGUUUUUGGGUUAGGAUUGCUUCCUACAACUUUUUCAGCUUAUUGUUUCCCUGGAGAAAUUGGGACAAGUUCUGAACAUGAUAAAAGGGUGCUUUCAACGAAAAAUAAAGUUGAUACGAUGCAAACCUUAAUUGAAAAACUUGUGUCAACCAUUCAAGAUUUACGUCAUGAGUUUGAUAUGGAAGAUUGUACACUCCCUCCUUCACAGUCAAUGGAACAGGUACUCUGUACUUUUAAUGGUCAAAAUGAGUCACCACAACAAGGAAAUAACUCAGAAACUCAAAUAUAGAGCUUGGGAGGCUUGGGCUCAAAGAAGGAGCACUUAAAAACUAGUGGAGUUUGAUAGUUUUUUUUUUUUUACCAUACAAUUUGAAUUCUGAAAGUAUGAUGGAGUUUAAUUUUUUUAUAUAAGAUUGUAGAAUUUUUUAUUUUGGAUACAAUUGAUUGGGAUGAUGAUCAUGGAUUUUAUUUGGUUGAUAAAGAGGAUUUAUACAUUUAUGUAUUUUUUUUUAAUAUAUAAGUUACUAUAUUGUGUAUUGGAUGGAUUAUAUAGGUUCAAUAAACAUUCGUAAU